This 393-nucleotide ribosomal RNA is filed under the name uncultured bacterium. RNAcentral describes it as "partial 16S ribosomal RNA". It matches the Rfam family "Bacterial small subunit ribosomal RNA", at positions 523 to 918 of the family's 1533-position model. The record is from RNAcentral.
AUACGGAGGAUGCAAGCGUUAUCCGGACUUAUUGGGUUUAAAGGGAGCGUAGGUGGAUUGUUAAGUCAGUUGUGAAAGUUUGCGGCUCAACCGUAAAAUUGCAGUUGAAACUGGCAGUCUUGAGUACAGUAGAGGUGGGCGGAAUUCGUGGUGUAGCGGUGAAAUGCUUAGAUAUCACGAAGAACUCCGAUUGCGAAGGCAGCUCACUAGACUGUUACUGACACUGAUGCUCGAAAGUGUGGGUAUCAAACAGGAUUAGAUACCCUGGUAGUCCACACAGUAAACGAUGAAUACUCGCUGUUUGCGAUAUACAGUAAGCGGCCAAGCGAAAGCAUUAAGUAUUCCACCUGGGGAGUACGCCGGCAACGGUGAAACUUAAAGGAAUUGACGGGG